GCCUAGUUAGCUUGGUUGGUAGCGCGUCUGCCUUGUAAGCGCUACGCCGCGGGUUCGAUUCCCGCCCGGGGCG
RNAcentral lists this transfer RNA (73 nucleotides) under Diaphorina citri (Asian citrus psyllid). It matches the Rfam family "tRNA". Rfam says of the family: Transfer RNA (tRNA) molecules are approximately 80 nucleotides in length. The record is from Rfam by way of RNAcentral. Lineage: Eukaryota; Metazoa; Arthropoda; Insecta; Hemiptera; Psyllidae.